Molecule: long non-coding RNA, 1464 nt
Organism: Condylostylus longicornis
Lineage: Eukaryota; Metazoa; Arthropoda; Insecta; Diptera; Dolichopodidae
Exons: 3
Source: RefSeq, a predicted model, not a curated record
AGUGACCCAAUUAUUUUGACAAUUAGUAAACAAAAUAAACUUUCGAAGCAGAUGGAUAAAUUUGAAAUCAAAGAUGACUAAUUGAUUAAUGUUUUAAAGCAGAGAUGGUUUGCUAAGCAGCAAGUGGAUACCACAUCGCAGGUAACUUGAUUUCCAAUUCCAUUUUUGCAUUGUAUGUGUACUCAUGCGUAUUAUUUAUUUUUCAGGUUAAUAUUGCAUUAAAAUAUAGGUAUGAAAAUAUCAAUACAGAUCCGAGGAUUAAAUAGACUUUUGUUGUUGUUCAAAUAUGUAUUCCAUAAUUUUAAUUUUGUAAAGGUAUAUUUCUUUGUGUUUUUUUUUAUCUCAUUUUAGGUGCAGGUGAAGCCGAAACACCCAAUGGAAAAAGCAGACGAAUCAUAAUCAAAAUACAAUAAAUAUAAAGCGAAAUUCUUUGCUGACAAUUUAGAAAAUUUUUCAACCAAAUGAAAUAAAAGUUUGGUAAACGAUGAAAUUUUUAUUGAAUGAAAACACUAUAGCUCUACUGACACAAAAAGAAAUUUUUAUGAAAUCACUAAACUUGAAUAAAACCCCAGGUUUUAAUCCCAAUACUGCUGAGAUAAAAACAUAAUUGUCGAGAAUUGCUUUAACAUUUUUGAAAAAAAUUAUGAAGGUUAAGAAGGUUGAUGCCGAUAAUAGAAAAUAAGAAAUUGAUUCCAAACCAUUAGUUUGGUCUUCGACAAUAUAAGAAUAAUAAUAAAUAAGAAAGGCAAAUAUAUUCGACAUCUCUGGACGUGGCACAGGCGUUCGAUAAAGUUUGGUCCGACGGUUUAUUAUUUAAACUAAAUAAAUUAACACCAUUGCAAUUCAUGCAGUUACUUGAAUCAUAUUUAUGUGACAAACUUUUUCGAACCAAGCAGGACGGGGAGUAUUCCAUGCUCAGGGAAAUUAAGGCUGAUAAGCCUCAAGGCUGUAUUCUGAAUCCUAUAUUGUACGGGCUUUACACAAGGGGUGCCGGUGAUACAGCAAUGGGAAUAGCAUCUAAUGUAAUCGUAGUCCAACCGCAACUUUUUUCCAUUCACCAGUUUUCUUCGCAAUUCAAUCACUCGCUUGGAGUCUUCUGGGUUAUCUCUUCAUGCUCAUAUAGAGAUUAUUGAAGAUGCUUUUGCAAAAAUAAAUAACGUAAUUGGGUCACAUGCAGUCUCAGUUAAAGUUAAAAUCGCCAAUAUUCCUAAAAAAACUAGUGAUUUCAAUAUUUUAAAAAAUGUUACAAACGUUAUCGCUUGGAACACAGCAUCUCCUCAAAAUUUAUACAAAAAUGCUGAAAUCAAGACAUUUAAAUUUGUGCCAGUGACUUCAACUGAUAACCAACAACAUUUUACGUUUGAAAAUUUGCGUAAUCAUUUUCAUUAUAAACUGCAAUUUUAAAUUAUGUCAGAAAAUUUAAUUUGAUAUUUAAUCAAAUUGUACAAUAAAACUGAUGCUUUA